This 526-nucleotide ribosomal RNA is filed under the name uncultured bacterium. RNAcentral describes it as "bacterial SSU rRNA". It matches the Rfam family "Bacterial small subunit ribosomal RNA", at positions 355 to 896 of the family's 1533-position model. The record is from RNAcentral.
UAGGGAAUAUUGCACAAUGGGCGAAAGCCUGAUGCAGCAACGCCGCGUGCGCGAUGAAGGCCUUCGGGUUGUAAAGCGCUUUUCGGGGAGAUGAGGAAGGACAGUAUCCCCGGAAUAAGGCUCGGCUAACUACGUGCCAGCAGCCGCGGUAAAACGUAGGAGCCAAGCGUUAUCCGAAUUCACUGGGCGUAAAGCGCGUGCAGGCGGCUCAGUAAGUUGGAUGUGAAAUCUCCUGGCUCAACUGGGAGAGGACGUUCAAUACUGUUGGGCUAGAGGGCGACAGAGGGAGGUGGAAUUCCCGGUGUAGUGGUGAAAUGCGUAGAUAUCGGGAGGAACACCAGUGGCGAAGGCGAUCUUCUGGUCUGUUUCUGACGCUCAGAGGCGAAAGCUAGGGGAGCGAACGGGAUUAGAAACCCCGGUAGUCCUAGCUAUAAACGAUGGAUACUGGGUGUCAGUGGUCCUAACCCCAUCGGUGCCGAAGCUAACGCGUUAAGUAUCCCGCCUGGGGACUACGGCCGCAAGGUUA